GAUUAUGGCUCAGGAUGAACGCUAGCGGCAGGCUUAACACAUGCAAGUCGAGGGGCAGCGGGAUGUAGCAAUACAUUGCCGGCGACCGGCGGAUGGGUGCGUAACGCGUAUGCAACCUACCUUAUACAGGGGAAUAACCUUUCGAAAGGGAGACUAACACCCCAUAGUAUUGAUUUAAGGCAUCUUAGAUUAAUUAAAUAUUUAUAGGUAUAAGAUGGGCAUGCGUAUGAUUAGCUAGUUGGUAAGGUAACGGCUUACCAAGGCGACGAUCAUUAGGGGUUCUGAGAGGAAGGUCCCCCACACUGGUACUGAGACACGGACCAGACUCCUACGGGAGGCAGCAGUGAGGAAUAUUGGUCAAUGGGCGCAAGCCUGAACCAGCCAUGCCGCGUGCAAGGAAGACGGCCUUAUGGGUUGUAAACUGCUUUUACAUAAGACUAACCGUAUAUUUGCGAAUAUACCUGAAUGUAUUAUGAGAAUAAGGAUCGGCUAACUCCGUGCCAGCAGCAGC
This 511-nucleotide ribosomal RNA is filed under the name uncultured bacterium. RNAcentral's name for it is "bacterial SSU rRNA". It matches the Rfam family "Bacterial small subunit ribosomal RNA", at positions 15 to 518 of the family's 1533-position model. The record is from RNAcentral.